AAAAAUCUAUUUGUUCAAGGAUGAAAGACAUACAUGAAGUUUAAUCUUUUCAAAUUCACCAGACUUAAAAAUUCCUGAUACACACAUAUUAAGAUUUUUUUUAAAAUAACCAUGUUUUUCAAAUAAAAUACGAAAAUAAUCAAGUUUUCAAAAAAAAUUCCAAAAUAACCAUGUUUGUGAGAGAAUGCGUCGGGGGAGUUGGC
Molecule: long non-coding RNA, 203 nt
Filed under: Lathyrus oleraceus (garden pea)
Lineage: Eukaryota; Viridiplantae; Streptophyta; Magnoliopsida; Fabales; Fabaceae
Description: Pisum sativum (pea) long non-coding RNA (PSAT_LNC002173)
Source: RNAcentral